CUUCAUCGAGCCGAGCAGCAGUGGGCGGUCCUGCGGGCGGUCCUGGCCGUACGUCUCCACCACGGCCUGGGCCUC
RNAcentral lists this antisense RNA (75 nucleotides) under Streptomyces sp. NRRL S-4. Its description in RNAcentral is "ASpks sRNA". It matches the Rfam family "ASpks TB sRNA". Lineage: Bacteria; Bacillati; Actinomycetota; Actinomycetes; Kitasatosporales; Streptomycetaceae. The record is from RNAcentral.